This 72-nucleotide transfer RNA is filed under the name Spirochaetota bacterium. RNAcentral describes it as "tRNA-Gln". It matches the Rfam family "tRNA". From Rfam's summary of the family: Transfer RNA (tRNA) molecules are approximately 80 nucleotides in length. The record is from RNAcentral. Lineage: Bacteria; Pseudomonadati; Spirochaetota.
UACGGGAUGGUGCAACUGGUAGCACACCGGGCUUUGGACUCGGCAAUGGUGGUUCGAACCCAUCUCCCGUAG